UGCAAGUCGAACGAGCUUCCGUUGAAUGACGUGCUUGCACUGAUUUCAACAAUGAAGCGAGUGGCGAACUGGUGAGUAACACGUGGGAAAUCUGCCCAGAAGCAGGGGAUAACACUUGGAAACAGGUGCUAAUACCGUAUAACAACAAAAUCCGCAUGGAUUUUGUUUGAAAGGUGGCUUCGGCUAUCACUUCUGGAUGAUCCCGCGGCGUAUUAGUUAGUUGGUGAGGUAAAGGCCCACCAAGACGAUGAUACGUAGCCGACCUGAGAGGGUAAUCGGCCACAUUGGGACUGAGACACGGCCCAAACUCCUACGGGAGGCAGCAGUAGGGAAUCUUCCACAAUGGACGAAAGUCUGAUGGAGCAAUGCCGCGUGAGUGAAGAAGGGUUUCGGCUCGUAAAACUCUGUUGUUAAAGAAGAACACCUUUGAGAGUAACUGUUCAAGGGUUGACGGUAUUUAACCAGAAAGCCACGGCUAACUACGUGCCAGCAGCCGCGGUAAUACGUAGGUGGCAAGCGUUGUCCGGAUUUAUUGGGCGUAAAGCGAGCGCAGGCGGUUUUUUAAGUCUGAUGUGAAAGCCUUCGGCUUAACCGGAGAAGUGCAUCGGAAACUGGGAGACUUGAGUGCAGAAGAGGACAGUGGAACUCCAUGUGUAGCG
Molecule: ribosomal RNA, 659 nt
Filed under: Levilactobacillus brevis
Lineage: Bacteria; Bacillati; Bacillota; Bacilli; Lactobacillales; Lactobacillaceae
Description: bacterial SSU rRNA
Rfam family: Bacterial small subunit ribosomal RNA
Source: RNAcentral